AACGAACGCUGGCGGCAUGCCUAACACAUGCAAGUCGAACGGACUGCUUCGGCAGUCAGUGGCGGACGGGUGAGUAACGCGUGGGAAUCUGCCCUGGGGUACGGAACAACGCCGGGAAACUGGCGCUAAUACCGUAUACGGCUUAAGAGCGAAAGAUUUAUCGCCCUGGGAUGAGCCCGCGUCGGAUUAGGUAGUUGGUGGGGUAAAAGCCUACCAAGCCUUCGAUCCGUAGCUGGUCUGAGAGGAUGAUCAGCCACACUGGGACUGAGACACGGCCCAGACUCUUGCGGGAGCAAGCAGGGGGGAAUAUUGGACAAGGGGCGAAGGCUUGAUCCAGCAAUGCGGGGUGGGUGAGGAAGGCCUUAGGGUUGUAAAGCUCUUUGGGCGGGGAAGAUUAUGCCGGUACCCGAAGAAGAAGCCCCGGCUAACUUCGUGCCAGCAGCCGCCGAAA
This 451-nucleotide ribosomal RNA is filed under the name uncultured bacterium. RNAcentral's name for it is "partial 16S ribosomal RNA". It matches the Rfam family "Bacterial small subunit ribosomal RNA", at positions 29 to 523 of the family's 1533-position model. The record is from RNAcentral.